Non-coding RNA from Chaetomidium leptoderma, 85 nucleotides. Lineage: Eukaryota; Fungi; Ascomycota; Sordariomycetes; Sordariales; Chaetomiaceae. The record is from the annotation of a GenBank genome assembly.
GCCCGCGUGGCGCAAUCGGUAGCGCGUCAGACUUUUACGUAAGCUAGAGAUCUGAAUGUUGCGAGUUCGAGUCUCGCCGUGGGCG